This 451-nucleotide ribosomal RNA is filed under the name uncultured bacterium. RNAcentral's name for it is "partial 16S ribosomal RNA". It matches the Rfam family "Bacterial small subunit ribosomal RNA", at positions 29 to 523 of the family's 1533-position model. The record is from RNAcentral.
AGCGAACGCUGGCGGCAGGCUUAACACAUGCAAGUCGAGCGGGCAUAGCAAUAUGUCAGCGGCAGACGGGUGAGUAACGCGUGGGAACGUACCUUUUGGUUCGGAACAACACAGGGAAACUUGCGCUAAUACCGGAUAAGCCCUUACGGGGAAAGAUUUAUCGCCGAAAGAUCGGCCCGCGUCUGAUUAGCUAGUUGGUGAGGUAAUGGCUCACCAAGGCGACGAUCAGUAGCUGGUCUGAGAGGAUGAUCAGCCACAUUGGGACUGAGACACGGCCCAAACUCCUACGGGAGGCAGCAGUGGGGAAUAUUGGACAAUGGGCGCAAGCCUGAUCCAGCCAUGCCGCGUGAGUGAUGAAGGCCCUAGGGUUGUAAAGCUCUUUUGUGCGGGAAGAUAAUGACGGUACCGCAAGAAUAAGCCCCGGCUAACUUCGUGCCAGCAGCCGCCGUAA